GAUGAACGCUGGCGGCGUGCUUAACACAUGCAAGUCGAACGGGGAUAAGGAGGGCUUGCCUUCCUUAUCCAAGUGGCGGACGGGUGAGUAACGCGUGGAUAACCUGGCCCAUACAGGGGGAUAGCAGCUGGAAACGGCUGGUAAUACCGCAUAAGCGCACAGGGGCGCAUGCCCUGGUGUGAAAAACUCCGGUGGUAUGGGAUGGGUCCGCGUCUGAUUAGGCAGUUGGCGGGGUAAAGGCCCACCAAACCGACGAUCAGUAGCCGGCCUGAGAGGGUGGGCGGCCACAUUGGGACUGAGACACGGCCCAA
Molecule: ribosomal RNA, 311 nt
Filed under: uncultured bacterium
Lineage: Bacteria
Description: bacterial SSU rRNA
Rfam family: Bacterial small subunit ribosomal RNA
Source: RNAcentral